Non-coding RNA from Xyrichtys novacula (pearly razorfish), 3098 nucleotides. The record is from the annotation of a GenBank genome assembly. Lineage: Eukaryota; Metazoa; Chordata; Actinopteri; Labriformes; Labridae.
GUUGCUUUUUCCCACUUUUACCAACACAAGCGCAAAUUAAUGGAACAUAUUAAAUGACAGAAAUCAUGUGAAAAACACGUCAUAACCACAUCUUCUUUGUCUUGCCUCCAGAUUUGGUAAUUUAGUAAUUAUCUAAAAAAGUGUGUUUAGAUUUUUCAAUCCUGGAGACACCCACACAGAUGCUCUUAUACAAAUGACUUAAAGCUAUCGUUAAAAUACUUUUCACCUCUCACUUUUCCCUCUAUCGGAUUUUUAUAUUUCUCCAAAUAUCUCUCUGCAGAUCGUGGCCUGAUCUCCUGCCUCUCUUUCUCUUUUCUGUUUCUAUUUCUGAAAUGUAAAAAUUUCUGCAGGGGGUAAAAAGCAGAGAGUGGGAGAGCGGCGGAGAGAGGAGUGCUGGGCAUUGGAGAGAAAUGUGUUGCAUGGCCUGAAGCCUAACGGGUAAUAAAGUCAUUAAUUCAGCUGAUUAAGUUGGCCUUUGGGUUAAAGAAAAAUCAUAUCCGUCUCCCUUUGAGAUGUGACUGGGGAAGCACAGAAGAGGGAGAAGCCAGCUAAUUAGUGCUGAAAACAGGAGGGGGGUGAGAGGGAGAAGGAGGUAAAGAGAGAAAGAGAGACAAAAAGAGAGAGAGAGAGAGAGAGAGAGAGAGUGUGUGUGUGCAUGUGUUACGGGACAGUAGAGGGGGAUGGGGGGGAGGGGGUUCAGAUAGGUGUUUCAGCUGAACUACUAAUGAGGCAUGUUUGGGGUGAGGGAGUGACAAGCUCAUCAAAACGCCCGCUUACCAGGCGAACCAUUUCUCUCAAAGAGUCUGCCCGGCUACCUUUGAGCCUGACACUGCCACUUAAUGAUGUGAAACAAGAUAGAGAGGGAGAAGUUCGGGUGAAAUGUCAGUUUGCUCCCAGUUUAAUGAGCUUGUUGUUGAAUAGAGAAGAGGGGCGGGAGGAGAAAGCAACAGGAGCUGCCCUUCACUGCUCUGAGCAAAACAUCAUCUCUAUGAAUGCAUUAAUAUGUGGAAAUAAGACUAGGUGAGAUAAGAUAUUCCUUUAAUAGGGGAAAUUCCACAAUUACAGCAGCAUAAAUACAGACACAAAAAGAGAAACUAAAGGAUAAAGAAAUUUAGGAUUAAAAUAUAUAUAUAUAUAUACAUGAGUCUUAUUUACUAUAUACACAGGUACAGAAUAUACAUAUAAUAUGAUUUAUUGCACACUGAGGUUUCUGUUGUGGAGUCUGCUCUGAGCAAAACACCACCUCUAUGAAUGCAUUAAUAGGUGUAAAUACUGUUAACCACCACCUCUAUGAAUGCAUUAAUAUGUGGAUAUACUGUAAAACACCACCUCUAUAAAUGCAUUAAUAUGUGUAAAUACUGGAAAACACCACCUUUAUGAAUGCAUUAAUGGGUUGCACUGUGAGAUGAUCUUAAACCAGAUUCACUUACUAAUGUUACAAUCUUCCCUGUUAUUCUCUGGUUGUCAUUUCAUAUUUUGACUUCUCUUAAUUAUUGACAGCACCAUUAGAUUUAAUCUACACUUUAAAGCUAAACAGAAGAUUAGUCAACAAAAAGAUCUGUCCUUAACUCAUCAAAGUAUUUUAAGGGUGGUGAUCUACCUGAGGGGCAGAAGCCUUAAAGCUUUACAUCUUUCCUACUAAAGACACAUAGAUAGGUGGAAAGAUUUUUAGUGAAUAAAAGGUUUGUCCAAAAAACAUCUUGCAUGGUAGUUUUUGUUCAAUGUGAAGGAGCCGAGGGAGUUAAAUGUACCACAAAUCAGACAUCUUUACCUAAACAUUUUGCACAAACCUCUCUCCCUUUGCAUGUGUUAUAGACUUGAGUAGCUCACAGAAGUAAAAUGCUCUCAUCUAAUUUGCCUUUUUUUUUGUUUUCAGAGCCAAAAAUGUUCCUUUAACACACUCAAACCACCUGUAAUUGCCAAGUGAGUCAUGCAGAGAUGAAGACAAUACCCCAGAUUUGAAGAAACCAUCAUGUCGUCUUGUUAGGAGCAACUCUGUUCCUCACUUCCCACAUGCAGAAUAAUCUGGCUCAGUGUUAAAGGCUCGACUCCUGACAGCGGCUCACAGUGCCACCCUGAAUCCCUGCUGCUGCUUGAUGCACACAACAGAAAACAAUCCAGAGGUGGAUUGAAGUCAUGCAGAGGUCAGCAGCUCCCUCGAGAGGGGAUUGUGGAUGAUUUCUCUGACGUGGUGCUUUCCAGCACACAAGGGUUAAAAAAAACCCUGUAUGUUAUACCCAUUCAGUGGCAGUAUGGAAAAUGUUAAUACUGGAUUGUUAAGUGUUGUAUCUGUCUGGACAGCAAUCCAAAACAGUAUCAUUAUGUUUGUUUGUGUAUGCGCAGUAUUCUUAUAGACAUGAAAAAAGGGGGUCAUUCACCAAGAGUCAUUUUCACCUCCUUUAUCUAUCUGGAAAUGUGCAACUGGUAACAAACCCCCUUUAUUUUGAUAGCAGUUUUUGGUAACAUAUGAACUCCCCUCUUGUGAUGCAUUAUAAGUACAUUUUAAUGCAUCUAUUUAUAAUAGUCCUUAUGAGUUUUAAUGUACUAAAAUAUGACUUGUAGCUCUUUACGUAAGUGAUCAGUAACGAAGCAGCAAACAGUCAUAUGGCAAAUUUAUGGUGGCUAAUUUAAGUUUAAAGCUCCUGUGAGGAGCUUUUUGAUAUUUAUAAAAUAGACUGACAUUCGUAAUGAUGCUUUUUUUGUGGAUCACCAAAGCAUACAAAAACAGGACUGAUUGUUUAUAACAUGUAGUUUUUCAUACCUAAAGUAGUGAUGUGUCCUUCAGUGCCGAGGCUUCGAAGCGUGUGUCGAGUAAUGAAGGGGGCGUUUCCGCGAAGCGCGUAUCGAGGCUUGCUUCAUGUAGGGGUGAAGCCAAAAAUGAUGACGUCCGAAGCCUCGCUACCCGGCUAUACCACGUGACUGAUUCAAGAAACGGUUCACGGGUUUGACGGAUGAUUUAACAGGCAGCGAAACGCAAUGGAGUCCUGCCCCACUCACAAUCCAUAGACUCGAGACUUGUUGAAAAGUUGUUUUUAAAUAAAAAUAAAUAAAUAUAAAUGAAAUGUUUAUGUUUUAUUUGUUGUCUCCGUAACAAAAGU